RNAcentral lists this ribosomal RNA (512 nucleotides) under uncultured bacterium. RNAcentral's name for it is "partial 16S ribosomal RNA". It matches the Rfam family "Bacterial small subunit ribosomal RNA", at positions 28 to 523 of the family's 1533-position model. The record is from RNAcentral.
GACGAACGCUGGCGGCGUGCCUAAUACAUGCAAGUCGAGCGGAACUGGGGGAGCUUGCUCCUUCCAGUUUAGCGGCGGACGGGUGAGUAACACGUGGGCAACCUGCCCUGCAGAUCGGGAUAACUCCGGGAAACCGGUGCUAAUACCGAAUAGUUUGGCGCCUCUCCUGAGGCGCCACGGAAAGACGGUUUCGGCUGUCCCUGCAGGAUGGGACCGCGGCGCAUUAGCUAGUUGGUGGGGUAACGGCCCACCAAGGCGACGAUGCGUAGCCGACCUGAGAGGGUGACCGGCCACACUGGGACUGAGACACGGCCCAGACUCCUACGGGAGGCAGCAGUAGGGAAUCUUCCGCAAUGGACGCAAGUCUGACGGAGCAACGCCGCGUGGGUGACGAAGGUUUUCGGAUCGUAAAACUCUGUUGUGAGGGAAGAACACGUACCAACUAACUAUUGGUACCUUGACGGUACCUCACCAGAAAGCCACGGCUAACUACGUGCCAGCCGCCGCCGUAA